UACGGGGGGAGCAAGCGUUGUUCGGAUUUACUGGGCGUAAAGCGCACGUAGGCGGCGAGGCAAGUCAGGGGUGAAAUCCCGGGGCUCAACCCCGGAACUGCCCUUGAAACUGCAGUGCUAGAAUCUUGGAGAGGCGAGUGGAAUUCCGAGUGUAGAGGUGAAAUUCGUAGAUAUUCGGAAGAACACCAGUGGCGAAGGCGACUCGCUGGACAAGGAUUGACGCUGAGGUGCGAAAGCGUGGGGAGCAAACAGG
This 253-nucleotide ribosomal RNA is filed under the name uncultured bacterium. Its description in RNAcentral is "partial 16S ribosomal RNA". It matches the Rfam family "Bacterial small subunit ribosomal RNA", at positions 524 to 776 of the family's 1533-position model. The record is from RNAcentral.